CCUACGGGAUGCAGCAGUGAGGAAUAUUGGUCAAUGGACGAGAGUCUGAACCAGCCAAGUAGCGUGAAGGAUGACUGCCCUAUGGGUUGUAAACUUCUUUUAUAUGGGAAUAAAAUGUUCCACGUGUGGGCUUUUGUAUGUACCAUAUGAAUAAGGAUCGGCUAACUCCGUGCCAGCAGCCGCGGUAAUCCGGAGGAUCCGAGCGUUAUCCGGAUUUAUUGGGUUUAAAGGGGGCGUAGGUGGAUUGUUAAGUCAGUUGUGAAAGUUUGCGGCUCAACCGUAAAAUUGCAGUUGAAACUGGCAGUCUUGAGGACAGUAGAGGUGGGCGGAAUUCGUGGUGUAGCGGUGAAAUGCUUAGAUAUCACGAAGAACUCCGAUUGCGAAGGCAGCUCACUGGACUGCAACUGACACUGAGGCUCGAAAGUGUGGGUAUCAAACAGGAUUAGAUACCCCUGUAGUC
Molecule: ribosomal RNA, 460 nt
Filed under: uncultured bacterium
Lineage: Bacteria
Description: partial 16S ribosomal RNA
Rfam family: Bacterial small subunit ribosomal RNA
Source: RNAcentral